CUAUGUUCUAUUUUUAGCCAUGGCGGCCAUCUUGGAUGGUUGGCCGGGUCACCGGACACAUUUUUUAAACAAGAUACCCCAAAGAUGGUUGUGGCCAAGUUUGGAUUGAUUUGGCCAAGUAGUUUCAGAGGAGAAGAUGUAUAAGAUUACUAAGAUUUACGAAAAAUGGUUAAAAAUUGACUAUUAAGGGCAAUAACUCCUAAAGAGGUCAACUGACCAUUUCGGUCAUGUUGACUUAUUUGUAAAAAUCUUUUUUUGCUGAACAUUAUUGCUGUUUACAGUUUAUCUCUAUCUAUAAUAAUAUUCAAGAUAAUAACCAAAAACAGCAAAAUUUCAUUAAAAUUACUUAUUCUGGGGCAGCAACCCAAAACCGGGUUGUCCAAUUCAUCUGAAAAUUUCAGGGCAGGUAGAUCUUGACCUGAUAAACAAAUUUACCUCAUGUCAGAUUUACUCUAAAUGCUUUGGUUUUUGAGUUAUAAGCCAAAAACUGCAUUUUACCCCAAGGUUCUAUUUUUAGCCAUGGCGGCCAUCUUGAUUGGAUGGCUGGGUCACUGGACACAUUUUUCAAACUACAUACCCCAAAGAUGGUUGUGGCCAAGUUUGGAUUGAUUUGGCCAAGUAGUUUCAGAGGAGAAGAUUUUUGUAAAAGAUUACUAAGAUUUAUGAAAAAUGGUUAAAAAUUGACUAUAAAGGGCAAUAACUCCUAAAGGGGUCAACUGACCAUUUCGGUCAUGUUGACUUAUUUGUAAAUAUUACUUUGCUGAACAUUAUUGCUGUUUACAGUUUAUCUCUAUCUAUAAUAAUAUUCAAGAU
This 813-nucleotide long non-coding RNA is filed under the name Mytilus galloprovincialis (Mediterranean mussel). Lineage: Eukaryota; Metazoa; Mollusca; Bivalvia; Mytilida; Mytilidae. The record is from RNAcentral.